RNAcentral lists this long non-coding RNA (1644 nucleotides) under Piliocolobus tephrosceles (Ugandan red Colobus). RNAcentral describes it as "lncRNA (ENSPTEG00000003527.1)". Lineage: Eukaryota; Metazoa; Chordata; Mammalia; Primates; Cercopithecidae. The record is from RNAcentral.
GUUGGAUAAUGGACAAGCAGAGGUAACUAAAAAAUGGGAAAACUUAAAUAAUAAUCAGAAUAAAUUACAUAAUAAUAAUUUUAAGUCAACUAAAAAGUGGAAUGAGUUGGCUAAAAAUGAUGAUAAGUUAUGUACUAAAAAAAAUAUUAUUAAUAUGGAUAAUAAAUUGCUUUCAUUUAAUGAUACAAUAAUAUUAAGAAAAGAAUUAAAAAGUAAUAAAAUAUUUUCAGUUUAUACAAAAAGUUAUAUACAUAAAGAAAAUGAACAAAUAUUAAUAACAUGUAUUAGAAAAUUGAAUGAAUAUGAACGUAUAAAAAAUAAUAUAAAAUUAAGUAUGUUUAUAUACGAGUUACAAAAUUUGAGUAAAUCUAAAGUAAGUUUCAAUGUUUUACAACAAAUCAGUAUUAUUAAAAAAUUACUUGAACAUAUUAAUAACAAUAUAGGGAGUGUGUCAUCUGCUUUUUUACUUUUAUCAGUUGCUAUAAGUUAUAAAAAUAUAAAAUUAAAUAAAUAUACUUAUUUUAAAAAUGUUUUAAGUUCUAUAUGUAAUAAUAUAAAAGUAUAUAAAAGUAAUAAAUUAAAUAGAUUGUUAAAAAACAAAAACGAAAAUGAAGAUAAUUACAAAUAUACUAUUGAAUUAUUAAAUAAAAAAAAAAAUAAAAAAAAUAAAAUUAAUAUGUUAAAUAUAUAUACUAACCAUUUAAAUAAUAGUACAUUAUGUUAUAUAUUAUAUUCUUAUUCAUGCUUAUUUAAUACUAAAAAUGCAUAUAUAUUAUAUAUAUGUAAAUAUAUCUUAUUAAAUAUUGGCACUAUUAAUUAUUUAGACAUGUUAUCUUUAUUAUAUUUUUUAAGUAAAAUUAAUGGGAAGCUUAACAAACAUGAUGUACAAUAUUUUUAUGACAAUACUGAUAUGUUCAGGUUAAAUGAUAAAAACAAAAGUUAUAGUCCAGAAAAAGAAAAAAAAAUGGAACACAACAUCACCAACUCAUUACAACAACAACAGCAGAAACAUAUGUCACAGCAUGAUCAUGACAAAAAAAUGGACAGCAAAAAAAUGGAUGGCGAAAAAAUUGUUAUUAAUAACGUGUCUAGUUUAAAAAAACUGAGUAGUAACAAUAAAUAUGAUGAAUAUAAAAAUGCAUAUUUAAAAAUAUUAAGAUCAAUUAUUUAUUUUAUAAAUAAAAAAAAAAUAAUAAAUUAUGAAAAUACGAAUGUUUUAAUACUUAUUCUUUAUUAUUAUGUAAAAAUGAAUUUAAUACCUAUACAAAUAUUUUAUAAAUUAAACUAUAAAAUAAAAAAAAACAUCAAAAAAAUAAAAGUAGACACAAAAUAUAUAUCUUUAUAUGUAUAUAUAUUAAGUCGUAUUAAAUUUGAUAUAAGUUAUUAUAAAUAUGUAUAUAAACAUUUAAAUAAUAUUUUUAAAAAUAGAAUAAAAAAUUUUGACGUACUAUCAGUGUCAUUAUCUUUUUAUUCGCUUUCCAAAAAUUUGUAUUAUGACCCAGACUUUGUACAAACAUGUAUAGAACUAUUUAAAAUGUACGUAACAAAGUGUGAACAAAAAAUAAAAAUCAAACAAAAAAUAGAAACAGCAAUCAUGAGCGUGUGGCAUAGAGUCUAUACAUACAUUGCGUAUAAUGUAUAGUG